UGAGUGACCAAGGGGUGCUGACCGCGGCGCUCGGACCCGGCAACUUACAAGAUUAAAAUUAAAUUUGGUUGAUGAUGGUUCUGGACAAAUACAGCUCUUUUAUUUGAGGUAUGCCAUUUUGAAGACAGACCCGUGGAAUUUUAUCCUUGAGGAUAGGGGAAAUCUUUGUGAAAGUCUGUAUUUUAUAAAGCAACAAUAUGAAUCCUGAGGCUGAAUUGUCUAAGGGGCCUGUACAGCGAAAUAGAUAGAGGUAUAAAUGGAUGGAAGGAAACUCACAUUUGAACAUUCUUCUAAUACUGCACCCUAGCUGUUGGUAAGCUCCCCAUUUUUAUAAAUAAAGUUUUAUUGGAACACAGCUAAGCUCUUUCAUUUACAUAUUAGCUGUGUCUGCUUUCUGACUACAGCUGCAGAGAGUAGAUUUAGCUAAUGGCCACAAACCCUAACAUAUUUAGUUAUUUAGUAUUUUAACCUGUAAGGAAAUCUUGCCUAUCCUUUCCCUAGAUUCAUCCUUUUUGUCAACUUUAUGUAGAACUCAAAAGCACUUGGAUUCUCUUAAUAAUGGGGGUGUACCUUUUACUUUGUUAGUAUUUCAUUGUUAGAAUUCAAAUAACAUAAGUAAUCAUGAGCUUGGCUUAAACUCCAAAGCCCAACAAAGGUUCUUUCACACCAGCAUUAUGCUUUAAUAUUAGAAGAUUUGGGGAGUUCCCGGUGUGGCACAGUGGAAAUGAAUCAACUAGUAUAGUAUCCAUGAGGAUUUGGGUUCUAUCCCCGGCCUCACUCAGUGGAUUAAGGAUUUGGAGUUGCUGUGAGCUGUGGUGUAGGCCAGCAGCUGCAGCUCUGAUUCGACCCCUAGUCUAGGAACUUCCUUAUGACACAGGUAUGGCCCCAAAAAGCAAAAAAAAAAAAAAAGAAGAAGAAGAUUUGGUUACUACUGCUAUGGAAUUUCUAAUUCGCAACCUGAGAAAUAGUGGGAAAAAAGUUAGGGUUAAGAAUGUGUAAAUGAAUUUGGUUGAACUCUCAAAAGGAUUUAUUUAUUAUUGACAGAACUUUUUAGGUAUGAUAAUUAUUUAGUAGCUUUUUCAUAAAAAUAAUUUUCGAUUCACAUUUGGGAAUCUAGAUUCUAAGUGAUAAUCUUUGCUUCUAAUUACUGCAACUUCUAUUAUGUAAAAAUGGCUACUAGGGCUUGUAAAAUAGUGAAGUUUGUUUCUGUUUUCCAAUUUAGGGUGUGAGGACAGAUGAAAACUUUGCUAAUGUAAUACAAUUUAUUAACUUAAUGUCUUUUAAAGCAAUUAAUUGGCACAUUACUGGAUGCUCAACAUACUUGUUGAUUUAUUUUAAUGGUUUCUAUUGAACAUUUAUUAACUAGUAUUUUGAGUCUAGUCUAAAAACAAUUCAUUAUUAAAAUGUGUUUGUAAUGGGUUAAAUACUAAUUUUUAUGUAUGCUUGAAAGCUAAAACUUUGACUCGGUAAAGACCUUAAAAGUGGCAAGAAACCACAACUUUCAAUCUUUUAUGCACAUGUAGUCAAGUUUUAAAAACUAAUAGGGAUAAUGGGGAAGACUUGAUUUGAUUGUAAAACCUUAAGUAAGACUCUUCUUACUUAACAUAGUUGAUCUUAUUCUUUUAGUAAACAACAGUUGGAUGGACUUUUUGUAGUUAGUUUUUAUGCCCACCUUAUUUAAUUUUAUACCCAAGACUUGUUAAUAUAUUGCAAUCCUAUUGAGCAUUCAAGCUAUUUUUGGUAAUAAGACAGUAUGUGAAUUCAUUAAAUGUUUUCAGAUUUAAAGACAGUGCAAAGAAGAUUGAAAUCAUAAGUACCAAGAAGCUUAUUUACAUAAGCCGAUGAGAAUGAUCAAUUUCUGCUUCUCAUUGUAAUUUUGUAUCCAUUUGUCUUGCAUUAAAUAUUUGAGUUUUAAAAUAAUAAAAGUUACAUAAGUUAACAAACUAGCAUUUAUUAUAGAGCCUCUCACUUUAUUUUUUCAUCUUUUUAGUUUUAUUUGAAGUAUAGUUGAUUUACAAUGUUGUGAUAAUUUCUGAUGUACAACAAAGUGAUUUAGUUACACAUGUACACACAUCCCUUUUCAGGUUUUUUUCCCAUAUAGAUUAUUAUAGAAUAUUGGGUAGAGUUCCCUGUGCUAUACAGCAGGUACCCAUUUAGAGCUACUCAUUUUAAAAAUUAAGAAUCAUUAAUCUUUUUUCCUUGUAUUCCUCCCUGUCUGCCAUAUUUUUUGUUGCCAUUAAAAUGUGGGUUUGCUGGGAAGUAGAGGUAAGGAAAUUGCUUAUUUUAGGGGAACCCUUCUUAAACCCAUCCAGUAAUGAAUCACUUGUUUGCAUUUCAGCUAAUGACAUAUAGGUUUUUUUUGAAAAAAUUUACUGAAUUAGAAUUUAAGAGAAGACUUUGCUCAAUUCUGCGUUUUUAAUUUCCAGAUGUACAAAAUAUUUGGGAAUUUUAAGAGGUAGUAAGUACUUAUUACGUUUUUACUAUAGGAAGCUUUUGCUUUUGUUUUUGGGUAUUAGAGUAAGAAAUUUUCCUUUAAAAAGGAAAUAUAAAGUACUGAACAUCAUCGUGGAGAAAUUCUCCUAGCUUUUCGUAAUAUGAGCUUGGAACUUGUAUGUUUGAUGAUGGAAUUCUUGAGCAAACCAUCAUCUCUUCAGUAUAUUUGCAGUAAUUCACUAAUUACUAGAGAGAGAUGGAGUAUUAGGGCUUUGAUACUAAACCCUACUCAGUUUUCUGUACUGGUCUUAUUUUAAUGUCAGAUUAAAUUCUCUUUAAAGCAGAAAGUGUUUUGUCUUUAAAUAGUUGACCCCAUGAUUCUAUAGAUUUUUCAGGGAUAUCAUAGCCACUGGAAUAUAAAUUACUUUGAUUCAUUAAGGGUAGUUUGUAGGUCCUCAGGUACUUUGGUUACUAUGGUAUAUUGGAACAAUAGCUGGCAUUUAUUGAAGUCUUCCAUUAUGCCAGGUAAUGUAAAAGCUAUAAAUGUACUAACUCCUUUAAUCCUCACUACUGCUGCCACAUGAGGUAGGUACUGUUACUUCUGUUUUACAGAUGAAGAACUGGAUUUUGUUAACAAGAAAAUUUCCAGUCCCACAGAACUCAUGCUUGUUUUCUCUUUUUUCUUAACAUAACUUUGCUGAUUUGCAAGUUUAAUUUUUGUAGAGAAAUUGGAAUUCCAUGAGAAUGACUUAUUUCUAAAUCAUUUACUGUUCAUUUAAGUGCUUUGAUACUUAAAGUAUUACUGAGCACUUUUGCUUAUUAACAGAACUGACUUCUGGCUUUUGAGUUGGCUUUAUAGAAGUGAAGGUUGAUCAUGGGUUUUCUUGGGUAGCAUUCCUUUUUUUUUUUUUUUCUUCUCUCCUCUGCCCUGCCUUUUAUACUGUUUAAAAUGGCAGUAUAUGUAUUAGCUUGACCAAUAUGCUAGUAUUUUUAAUCUCUGUUUUUAUCCCAUAAACUGGUGCAUUUUAUUAAUUUUGUUCUGAUUUUAAUAAAUAAGGCUUUGUGAAAUUUUUUGAAAAACAAGGUUUUAAAAGGAAAUGUCUUAUCGUGUCCAAGGUAAAUUUUACCUCUUGGCCUAUGGCAGAAGAAUAUAAAGCACAAAGUUUAUCAUUUAAUGUACUAGAUUGAAUAAAUUGCACCUGUAGCCAUUGAGAUGAUUAUAACUUGAUAUCGAUGCAUUAAUGUCAUUGUUCAUCAUAAUAAUAUUUAUGUUCUCAACUUCAUUUAGAGCUUGAUCCUGCAUUGUAAGAGCAGGGUUUGGGGAGAAAUUGGUUUAUAAUUAACUCUGCAAGAGACUGAUCGUAUUUUUAUUUUUAUACUUUUAUAUAGAAAUGUAUGUCCCUUAAUUUUAUGAAUGAAACGCUCAAUUAGAAGAUAAUUUACUGACAUGGAGAAUGAAUAAGUUAUUUCCAGUUCUCCUUUUAGGCUGGAGAGAAAUCAGCAAAAAAUAUUAAGGAGAAAUGUCUUUUGUUUGAUGUUUAAUGAGUGGUGGUGUCUUCUUGGUUAAUCAAAUAACUAAGUAGAUUUUUGUAUUUUAUAUAUAAAAUACUUACUGUAGACUAGAAAUCCAAAUUACAGUUUGAGUCAAGGUAUUAAUUACCUCAUGAGCUCAAGAUGCCCCCCUUUUUUGGCUGCACCUGUGGCAUAUGGAGGUUCCUGGGCCAGGGACUGAAUAUGAGCUGCAGCUGUGGCAAUGCCAGAUCCUUAACACACUUCACCAGGUCAGGGAUCGAACCCAUGCAGCCAUAGAGACAACUGCCAAAUCCUUAACUCCAAAAUGACUCCAAAAUGCCCUUAUAUUUAAUACCCUUCUAAUCAGUCACCCAGACCAGCCAUACAAAUUUAGUUUGAGAGCUGCAGAAUUUAUAGAGAAGACUAGAGUUAAUACUUACUUUUAUGUUUUAUCAUGAUGAAUCAGAACUAUUUAUUUAAUAGUAAAAUCUCCUGGCUUCCCUUAAUCCCUUUAUUUCAAAUUAUUUAAGUAGUGGGUUUUUUUGUUUUUUUGUUUUUUUUUUUUUUAAUGGGGGAACAUUUGAUGUUUUCUCAAUGGAAAUAUUUUUUUAUUUAAUUUGCAAUUUGAUAGCAUUUCAUGGCAAAUACCAAAUAAGCCGGGCAGAUAUUUUGCAUUUUUGAUGGUUUCGUAUUCUAGUAGCUACAUGUCUUCUGCAUUCUCAUAUAUAGCUAAAGAUGAUGGGAGUUCCCGUCGUGGCGCAGUGGUUAACGAAUCCGACUAGGAACCAUGAGGUUGCGGGUUCGGUCCCUGCCCUUGCUCAGUGGGUUAACGAUCCGGCGUUGCCGUGAGCUGUGGUGUAGGUUGCAGACGCGGCUUGGAUCCCGCGUUGCUGUGGCUCUGGUGUAGGCCGGUGGCUACAGCUCCGAUUCAACCCCUAGCCUGGGAACCUCCAUAUGCCGCGGGAGCGGCCCAAGAAAUAGCAACAACAACAACAACAACAACAACAAAAAGACAAAAGACCAAAAAAAAAAAAAAAUUAAAAAAAAAAGAUGAUGGUAUCUAUGUUGGUCAUUUGUGUUACCUAUGCAAAAUUAAUAUCCGUUGCAUUGGAAAACCACUGUGAUCCACUGCUUUAGUUUUUUUCUUUUUUCUUUUUUUUAAUCCUAAGAUUCUUUUCCAUAAUUAGUUUUAUUUGAAGAAGCUUGGGAAGUUUUUUGCACUGAGAUUUAGCAUCCAUAGUGUUGGUGUAAUUUAGCUUUCUAGGAUUUUUGAAUUUGAAUUUUUGUUUUUAUUUCUCAUAUAGUCUAGCAAUAUUACAUUUAACUAUUAAAAAUUUGACUCUUCACUGCCACAUUUUUAUGGUUACAUAUGUAUCUGUGACAGUAGAAGGACUUUGUUACUAGUGUGCAGUUUUCCCAUGUCUCUCAUUGAUAAGUUUGUACAGCACAUACAACUUUAUACAGUUUUAUAAUUUAAAGCUGUUACAAAAUUGUUAAAGCUUUGUAUGGUUAGAGUAUCUUCAAGGUGGGUGGAUGUUCUCUGUUUAAAGGAAUAAGAUUAUUGCUAUUCCAACAGCAUUUUUUCUUUUAAUGUUUUCAUCAAGCACCCAGUCAGCUUGAAGAGUCUCAAAUGGACCCUACAACUGAGAAAUCAAGAUGGCAGUCCACUAUGGGAAAUGAGAAAAAUGGACUAAUGCAAGAGUGCUGUGAUAAUAACAACCAAGACAGGGUUCUUUUAACAUGGAUUUCAUGAAUGAAGAUAUAGGUUUCUUAACCAACACAAUGGACAGUGGAUUCGACUUUGGAAAGACUUUUUGUAUCAUAAAAACAAGAACAUUUUUGACACUUGGAGAAGAAAGAUGACACAUUAACAGAUGAUAGUGUGUAUGCCUGGAAUUUUUUGGUUUGAUUUGUAUGAGAAUGACCUUGUGGAAUGUUAACUUUAAUAAAAUUUCUAACAGU
RNAcentral lists this long non-coding RNA (5907 nucleotides) under Sus scrofa (pig). RNAcentral's name for it is "lncRNA (ENSSSCG00035052871.1)". The record is from RNAcentral. Lineage: Eukaryota; Metazoa; Chordata; Mammalia; Artiodactyla; Suidae.